This is a long non-coding RNA of Triticum aestivum (bread wheat), 899 nucleotides long. RefSeq lists it as uncharacterized. The record is from RefSeq and is a predicted model, not a curated record. Lineage: Eukaryota; Viridiplantae; Streptophyta; Magnoliopsida; Poales; Poaceae. The transcript has 3 exons.
CCCUCUCCGUCAUAAAUCUUUCUGCCCUAUUCCACCGGCAGUGAGAAAGCGGAGCCUCAGCUCCGGGCAUUAUUACGUCUCUGCACUGGAGCAAUCUCUUCCCAACAGCUCACAUUCUCCCCCCGAGGCCGAAUACCCUUUCUCCCGGAGCCUCACCAAUUUGGAUCGACGACGCAACGCAAGGCGGCCGGCCGGAACCCAGUCGAGUCAAGCUCCUCCCGGCGCGGCCUUCAGCAGUGCGCGGCGCUCCAGCUCGUCUUCACCGUCCAGCCCGAAGAAGAUACAGUUGGCCGGUGGAGACCAAAGAUGAGGCGGAGCAGUCUCGCGUGCGCGGCCAUCGUUCUGCUUGUCGCGUUCGGAUGGCUCGCAGCUGCUGGAGACUGCAGUCUUUCCCUCAAGUUUUGCGUCAUGAGGGAUUGCAAGACCAAAGGCGAGUUCUGGAAGUGGAAACCGGACUGCUUCUGCUGCCUCGUGCUGCCGGGCGUUCCGUGCUGGCACACGGUUAAGGAGUGCCAGGCAAAUUGCCGCUCCUGCAACCCCAAGUGCUAGUGCCGACAAGUGCUGGAUGCCGGCUGGUCCCUAGUUCAUGCCUCCAAAUAAUCGAUUUGAAACCUGGUGAAGCUGCGAAGGAGGGUGAUGCUUCACAUUCCCCGCUGAUCGAAGCCAAAAUACUGUUGGAGCGUGCAAGAUGGUCCCGGAUCUGAACAGUAACUAAAUACUUAAGUCAAUUGUGGAGCGAUCAUAAAACCCAUGAUGUAGAAAUAUUUGCAUUUCAAUGAGUGGUCGCUGAAGAGGCUUGUGUGCCCUGAAAUAUGUAUGGAGAUAAUCUUCAUAUGUAUCACUGCUGCUAUAAACAAUCGUUAUUGGGAACAGAGGGAUGGCGAGUUGGCAAGUAUAAA